Molecule: ribosomal RNA, 367 nt
Filed under: uncultured organism
Description: bacterial LSU rRNA
Rfam family: Bacterial large subunit ribosomal RNA
Source: RNAcentral
CUUUACUGUAGUUUGACAGUGAUAUUCGGGCGAGCCUGUGUAGGAUAGGUGGGAGACUUUGAAGCGGGUGCGCUAGUGCUCGUGGAGUCGUCCUUGAAAUACCACCCUGGUUCGUUUGGAUAUCUAACCUAGACCCGUUAGCCGGGUCGGGGACAUUGUCUGAUGGGCAGUUUGACUGGGGCGGUCGCCUCCCAAAAAGUAACGGAGGCGCGCAAAGGUUCUCUCAGCCUGAUUGGAAACCAGGCGACGAGUGCAAUGGCAUAAGAGAGCUUAACUGCAAGACCGACGGGUCGAGCAGAUGGGAAACCAGGCCAUAGUGAUCCGGUGGCUCCGAGUGGAAGGGCCAUCGCUUAACGGAUAAAAGGUA